ACGCGUGAGUAACCUGCCUUUCAGAGGGGGAUAACGUUCUGAAAAGAACGCUAAUACCGCAUGAGACUACAGAGCUGCAUGGCUCAGUGGUCAAAGGAGCAAUCCGCUUUGAGAUGGCCUCGCGUCCGAUUAGCUAGUUGGUGAGGUAAUGGCCCACCAAGGCAACGAUCGGUAGCCGGACUGAGAGGUUGAACGGCCACAUUGGGACUGAGACACGGCCCAGACUCCUACGGGAGGCAGCAUG
RNAcentral lists this ribosomal RNA (244 nucleotides) under uncultured bacterium. Its description in RNAcentral is "partial 16S ribosomal RNA". It matches the Rfam family "Bacterial small subunit ribosomal RNA", at positions 113 to 353 of the family's 1533-position model. The record is from RNAcentral.